ACUUUCUAUUUUAUAUAUAUUUAUUUAUCUACGAAGUUUGACGAGCUAAAGAUAUACAAUAUAUAGUAUCGAAAAUUACUGUAACAAUAGUAAUGGUAACUUACCUUUAGGGGUGAUAGGCCUUUCAAGUCAAACGAUAUCUUAACGACAAAGAAAAAUAUUAAGUAUGUAGGUAGUCUAAGAUUGGUAAGGAUUUUAGUAUGCAUUAUAGUUAAUAAUAUUUGGAUCGUCUCUGUAACUAGUACGUUAAUUCUAUAGAAAAAUAUAAAUUUUAAUAAAAAUAUGUUAAUUAUUUGUUUAGAUAACGCAAUUUAUUGUUGCUUUAAUUAUGAGAAUAUUAGUAUAAAAACAAGUUUUUGUAAGGAAUUCGGCAAAUUAUUUUCUCGACUGUUUAACAAAAACAUGCCUUAAGUAUUUUUUUAAGGUAACCCCUGCUCAAUGAUAUAUUAAAUAGCCGCAGUACCCUGACUGUGCAAAGGUAGCAUAAUCAAUUGGCUUAUAAUUGAAGUCUAGUAUGAAUGGGAUACCGGGUAAAUGCUGUCUUAUAAAAAUAAACAGAAUUUACUUAAUAAGUGAAAAUUCUUAUAUAUAGAAAAUAGACGAGAAGACCCUAGAAAUUUUUUCGAAAACUCAAUAGAGAUUUUGUUGGGGCGACAUGGUAGCACUAAACCUACCUAAAUAUAUAAGAAACUAUUAAGUUGAUUAAAUAAAUUACUCUAGGGAUAACAGCAUAAUUUUAUAAAGUUUGUGACCUCGAUGUUGGACUAGGGAGUAUAUACCUCAAAAAGGCGUAUUGCGAGCUCUGUUCGAGCUUUUUUCCCUACAUGAUCUGAGUUCAGACCGG
This 844-nucleotide ribosomal RNA is filed under the name Abchasohela pachnodes. RNAcentral's name for it is "partial 16S ribosomal RNA". The record is from RNAcentral. Lineage: Eukaryota; Metazoa; Mollusca; Gastropoda; Stylommatophora; Hygromiidae.